Molecule: ribosomal RNA, 253 nt
Filed under: uncultured bacterium
Lineage: Bacteria
Description: partial 16S ribosomal RNA
Rfam family: Bacterial small subunit ribosomal RNA
Source: RNAcentral
UACGGAGGGUGCAAGCGUUGUUCGGAAUUACUGGGCGUAAAGCGCACGUAGGCGGGUUUACAAGUCGAUUGUGAAAGCCCCGGGCUCAAUCCGGGAAUGGCAGUCGAAACUGUAAGUCUUGAAUACCUGAGAGGGUGACGGAAUUCCUGGUGUAGAAGUGAAAUGCGUAGAUAUCGGGAGGAACACCUGUGGCGAAAGCGGCGCACUGGACCAUAACUGACGCUGAGGCGCGAAAGCUAGGGGAGCAAACGGG